RNAcentral lists this ribosomal RNA (512 nucleotides) under uncultured microorganism. Its description in RNAcentral is "bacterial SSU rRNA". It matches the Rfam family "Bacterial small subunit ribosomal RNA", at positions 9 to 503 of the family's 1533-position model. The record is from RNAcentral.
GAGUUUGAUCGUGGCUCAGGAUGAACGCUGGCGGCGUGCCUAAUACAUGCAAGUCGAGCGAACGGACGAGAAGCUUGCUUCUCUGAUGUUAGCGGCGGACGGGUGAGUAACACGUGGAUAACCUACCUAUAAGACUGGGAUAACUUCGGGGAAACCGGAGCUAAUACCGGAUGAUAUUUUGAACCGCAUGGUUCAAAAGUGAAAGACGGUCUUGCUGUCACUUAUAGAUGGAUCCGCGCUGCAUUAGCUAGUUGGUAAGGUAACGGCUUACCAAGGCAACGAUGCAUAGCCGACCUGAGAGGGUGAUCGGCCACACUGGAACUGAGACACGGUCCAGACUCCUACGGGAGGCAGCAGUAGGGAAUCUUCCGCAAUGGGCGAAAGCCUGACGGAGCAACGCCGCGUGAGUGAUGAAGGUCUUCGGAUCGUAAAACUCUGUUAUUAGGGAGAACAUAUGUGUAAGUAACUGUGCACAUCUUGACGGUACCUAAUCAGAAAGCCACGGCUAACUA